Molecule: RNA transcript, 855 nt
Organism: Dendroctonus ponderosae (mountain pine beetle)
Lineage: Eukaryota; Metazoa; Arthropoda; Insecta; Coleoptera; Curculionidae
Exons: 3
Source: RefSeq, a predicted model, not a curated record
GGAAAAUUUAAUGUUUACCAUUUAGAUGAAUCUGCGUUCUAAGCUUUGAUGAUUUUAUGAUAAUAUUGAUCUAUGAUGCCUACUCAUAAAUAAUGUCAACUGCAGAUAAAUCGAUAGUUGGUUUUAGGUGCAGCUGGAAAAAGCACGAUGUACAUUAGUGAAGGAGCUCUAAUAGCAUGGGUUGGAGAGCAACUAGCUGAUGAAGGUCAUCGAACAACGAAGAUUUGUUUCCAGCUGUUAAAUGCUCUUCCGUGCGAUCUUGACGCAUUGGAUGGAAAUAUUUUCGAACAGCAAUUAAACCUGCUGCUAGAUCAAAGCAGAGCACACAAUAUCCGACUGCAUGCUGGUGGCUACUUCCAGUUAGAUUACAGAAUUUUUGGAUCAAUUGCUACUUCAGUUGCUACUUACACAAUAAUCAUCCUUCAGUUUCUACCGAACUAAGCACCGAUUAACGUUUUCAAUUUAAUUAUGGAUUUUCAUUUUUUUUCUAUAAUAUACUAUGGAGUGCUGAACUGACGCAUUUUUAUUCCUGCAUCUGGAUAGUCGCACUCAGCAAAAGUUUCUGUGCAACUGGAAAUUACACAAUUUUAAUGGAUAAAAAUACGAUUAAAAUUUGUAUUAAUUCGUCCAAGGAAUUGGCGCAAUUUGUAUGAUUUUUUUUUGUUGCCUUGGCAAUAUAUUUUAUUGCAAUUUUGAUGUAAAUUGAGAAUGAACAAAUACUCUUUCCACUAAGCACCUUUUGACUUCAAUAAUUUAUGUAACGGUUUUUCAAAUUUUUGCUUUGCGGGAAUGUAAUAGCUUGAGAAUUUGAAAACUAGAAAAACAAUUUCAAAUCCAUACUGUAAAUAUUAUUGA